AGCCAGACUCCUCCUGCAGCUCUGGUGGAAAACGGAGAAGACUUUUCCUUUCCUCCAUCUCCCCCAGGGCCUGGUGGAGUGAGGCG
Macaca mulatta (Rhesus monkey) is the source of this 86-nucleotide non-coding RNA. The record is from Rfam. NCBI's taxonomy places the organism in Eukaryota, Metazoa, Chordata, Mammalia, Primates, Cercopithecidae.